GCAUGGUUGUCGUCAGCUCGUGUCGUGAGAUGUUGGUUAAGUCCCGCAACGAGCGCAACCCCACGUUUAGUUGCUAACGCGUGAAGGCGAGCACUCUAGACGAACUGCCGUUGACAAAACGGAGGAAGGUGGGGAUGACGUCAAAUCAUCAUGCCCCUUAUGUUCUGGGCUACACACGUGCUACAAUGGCCGGUACAGACGGACGCAAAGCCGCGAGGUGGAGCAAAUCCUAAAAAGCCGGUCUCAGUUCGGAUUGCAGGCUGCAAUUCGCCUGCAUGAAGUCGGAAUCGCUAGUAAUCGCAGGUCAGCAUACUGCGGUGAAUACGUUCCCGGGCCUU
Molecule: ribosomal RNA, 338 nt
Filed under: uncultured Pelotomaculum sp.
Lineage: Bacteria; Bacillati; Bacillota; Clostridia; Eubacteriales; Desulfotomaculaceae
Description: bacterial SSU rRNA
Rfam family: Bacterial small subunit ribosomal RNA
Source: RNAcentral